UGGGGAAUAUUGGACAAUGGGCGAAAGCCUGAUCCAGCCAUGCCGCGUGUGUGAAGAAGGUCUUCGGAUUGUAAAGCACUUUAAGUUGGGAGGAAGGGCAUUAACCUAAUACGUUAGUGUUUUGACGUUACCGACAGAAUAAGCACCGGCUAACUCUGUGCCAGCAGCCGCGGUAAUAAAGAGGGUGCAAGCGUUAAUCGGAAUUACUGGGCGUAAAGCGCGCGUAGGUGGUUUGUUAAGUUGGAUGUGAAAUCCCCGGGCUCAACCUGGGAACUGCAUUCAAAACUGACUGACUAGAGUAUGGUAGAGGGUGGUGGAAUUUCCUGUGUAGCGGUGAAAUGCGUAGAUAUAGGAAGGAACACCAGUGGCGAAGGCGACCGCCUGGACUAAUACUGACACUGAGGUGCGAAAGCGUGGGGAGCAAACA
Molecule: ribosomal RNA, 427 nt
Filed under: uncultured bacterium
Lineage: Bacteria
Description: partial 16S ribosomal RNA
Rfam family: Bacterial small subunit ribosomal RNA
Source: RNAcentral